CCGGCGGACGCCGCNGAGUAACACGUGGGUAACCUGCCUGUAAGACUGGGAUAACUCUCGGGAAACCGGGGCUAAUACCGGAUGGUUGUUUGAACCGCAUGGUUCAAACAUAAAAGGUGGCUUCGGCUACCACUUACAGAUGGACCCGCGGCGCAUUAGCUAGUUGGUGAGGUAACGGCUCACCAAGGCAACGAUGCGUAGCCGACCUGAGAGGGUGAUCGGCCACACUGGGACUGAGACACGGCCCAGACUCCUACGGGAGGCAGCAGUAGGGAAUCUUCCGCAAUGGACGAAAGUCUGACGGAGCAACGCCGCGUGAGUGAUGAAGGUUUUCGGAUCGUAAAGCUCUGUUGUUAGGGAAGAACAAGUACCGUUCGAAUAGGGCGGUACCUUGACGGUACCUAACCAGAAAGCCACGGCUAACUACGUGCCAGCAGCCGCGGUAAUACGUAGGUGGCAAGCGUUGUCCGNAAUUAUUGGGCGUAAAGGGCUCGCAGGCGGUUUCUUAANUCUGAUGUGAAAGCCCCCGGCUCAACCGGGNAGGGUCAUUGGAAACUGGGGAACUUGAGUGCAGAAGAGGAGAGUGGAAUUCCACGUGUAGCGGUGAAAUGCGUAGAGAUGUGGAGGAACACCAGUGGCGAAGGNGACUCUCUGGUCUGUAACUGACGCUGAGGAGCGAAAGCGUGGGGAGCGAACAGGAUUAGAUACCCUGGUAGUCCACGCCGUAAACGAUGAGUGCUAAGUGUUAGGGGGUUUCCGCCCCUUAGUGCUGCAGNUAACGCAUUAAGCACUCCGCCUGGGGAGUACGGUCGCAAGACUGAAACUCAAAGGAAUUGACGGGGNCCCGCACNAGCGGUGGAGCAUGUGGUUUAAUUNGAAGCAACGCGAAGAACCUUACCAGGUCUUGACAUCCUNUGACAAUCCUAGAGAUAGGACGUCCCCUUCGGGGGCAGAGUGACAGGUGGUGCAUGGUUGUCGUCAGCUCGUGUCGUGAGAUGUUGGGUUAAGUCCCGCAACGAGCGCAACCCUUGAUCUUAGUUGCCAGCAUUCAGUUGGGCACUCUAAGGUGACUGCCGGUGACAAACCGGAGGAAGGUGGGGAUGACGUCAAAUCAUCAUGCCCCUUAUGACCUGGGCUACACACGUGCUACAAUGGACAGAACAAAGGGCAGCGAAACCGCGAGGUUAAGCCAAUCCCACAAAUCUGUUCUCAGUUCGGAUCGCAGUCUGCAACUCGACUGCGUGAAGCUGGAAUCGCUAGUAAUCGCGGAUCNAGCNAUGCNAGCGGGUGUAAU
Molecule: ribosomal RNA, 1294 nt
Filed under: Bacillus subtilis
Lineage: Bacteria; Bacillati; Bacillota; Bacilli; Caryophanales; Bacillaceae
Description: bacterial SSU rRNA
Rfam family: Bacterial small subunit ribosomal RNA
Source: RNAcentral